Molecule: non-coding RNA, 73 nt
Organism: Canis lupus familiaris (dog)
Lineage: Eukaryota; Metazoa; Chordata; Mammalia; Carnivora; Canidae
Source: Rfam
GCCUGGCUGGCUCAGUUGUUAGGGCAUGUGACUCUUGAUCUCAAGGUUAUGAGUUCAAGCCCCAUGUAGGGUG